GGCCCCUUGGUCAAGUGGUUAAGACACCGCCCUUUCACGGCGAUAACAUGGGUUCGAAUCCCGUAGGGGUCACCA
This 75-nucleotide transfer RNA is filed under the name Megasphaera geminata. RNAcentral describes it as "tRNA-Glu". It matches the Rfam family "tRNA". Rfam says of the family: Transfer RNA (tRNA) molecules are approximately 80 nucleotides in length. Their secondary structure includes four short double-helical elements and three loops (D, anti-codon, and T loops). RNAcentral also lists the same sequence under 5 other names. Lineage: Bacteria; Bacillati; Bacillota; Negativicutes; Veillonellales; Veillonellaceae. The record is from RNAcentral.